Molecule: ribosomal RNA, 453 nt
Filed under: uncultured Porphyromonadaceae bacterium
Lineage: Bacteria; Pseudomonadati; Bacteroidota; Bacteroidia; Bacteroidales; Porphyromonadaceae
Description: partial 16S ribosomal RNA
Rfam family: Bacterial small subunit ribosomal RNA
Source: RNAcentral
ACGGAAGGCAGCAGUGAGGAAUAUUGGUCAAUGGGCGGAAGCCUGAACCAGCCAAGUCGCGUGAAGGAUGAAGGUAUUAUGUAUUGUAAACUUCUUUAGCCAGGGAGCAAUAGUGGCCUCGUGAGGCCUUAUGAGGGUACCUGGAGAAUAAGGAUCGGCUAACUCCGUGCCAGCAGCCGCGGUAAUACGGAGGAUCCGAGCGUUAUCCGGAUUUAUUGGGUUUAAAGGGUGCGCAGGCGGCCUGUCAAGUCAGUGGUAAAAUCGUGGGGCUCAACCCCAUCCUGCCAUUGAUACUGCCGGGCUUGAUUGCGGUUGAGGUUGGCGGAAUUCGUUGUGUAGCGGUGAAAUGCAUAGAUAUGACGAAGAACUCCGAUUGCGUAGGCAGCUGACCAAGCCGUAAAUGACGCUCAUGCACGAAAGUGCGGGGAUCGAACAGGAUUAGAUACCCUGGUA